AGAACGAACGCUGGCGGCAUGCCUAACACAUGCAAGUCGAACGAGACCUUCGGGUCUAGUGGCGCACGGGUGCGUAACGCGUGGGAAUCUGCCCUUGGGUUCGGGAUAACAGUUGGAAACGACUGCUAAUACCGGAUGAUGACUUCGGUCCAAAGAUUUAUUGCCCAGGAAUGAGCCCGCGUAGGAUUAGCUAGUUGGUGAGGUAAAGGCUCACCAAGGCGACGAUCCUUAGCUGGUCUGAGAGGAUGAUCAGCCACACUGGGACUGAGACACGGCCCAGACUCCUACGGGAGGCAGCAGUGGGGAAUAUUGGACAAUGGGCGAAAGCCUGAUCCAGCAAUGCCGCGUGAGUGAUGAAGGCCUUAAGGUUGUAAAAGCUCUUUUUACCCGGGAAGAUAAUGACUGUACCGGAGAAAUAAGCCCCGGCUAAACUCCGUGCCAGCAGCCGC
This 449-nucleotide ribosomal RNA is filed under the name uncultured soil bacterium. Its description in RNAcentral is "bacterial SSU rRNA". It matches the Rfam family "Bacterial small subunit ribosomal RNA", at positions 26 to 518 of the family's 1533-position model. The record is from RNAcentral.